AGUAGCGCCCAUUCCUAUUUGUCCCCAAAUUGAGGAGGUGGUCAGGAGUCUAGACACAGUUCGCCUUUAAUAUUGAAUUCAGUAGUCAGGAAAUGAUAUUCACAGGAGAUUAUGAAGAUGCUGGAAAUCUAGAGCAACAGACACGAAAAACUGGAGGAACUCAGCAGGCAUGUCAUUCCAUGGCCUCCUCUUCUGCCACAAUGAGGCUUCUCUCCGGUUGAAUGAGUAACACCUCAUACCUAGCAACACCUCGGUAGCCUCCAACCUGAUGGCAUCCUAUGAUGCGGCUUGGCGCCGAGGACUUCCAGCAACUUGCAUUUUUAUUUAGCUUGUAUCUUGUACUUGGGCAAUUUAAAUGAGACUGAAUUGUAUAUCCACUACAAUAAAUUGAAAGACCUGCAAGAAAGCUGUCACUCCGCGUGGUAGGGUUGUUUGGAUUCCUGGAUGGCGGGAAGGGAGGAGGUAAAAGAACUGGUGUGGUACCUUGUGCAGGUGAUGGGAAAGGCUCAACAGAAACCCUUCCCAUCAGAAAAAGGAGAUUGGACUCAGGAAUUACACAGACAACAGUCCAUUCAAAACACCAUAAGGACCGUGAAGACAUGCGUGUCGG
This is a long non-coding RNA of Hypanus sabinus (Atlantic stingray), 610 nucleotides long. RefSeq lists it as uncharacterized. Lineage: Eukaryota; Metazoa; Chordata; Chondrichthyes; Myliobatiformes; Dasyatidae. The record is from RefSeq and is a predicted model, not a curated record. The transcript has 3 exons.